This 1271-nucleotide long non-coding RNA is filed under the name Struthio camelus australis. RNAcentral's name for it is "lncRNA (ENSSCUG00000015486.1)". The record is from RNAcentral. Lineage: Eukaryota; Metazoa; Chordata; Aves; Struthioniformes; Struthionidae.
CUCCGCUAUGUUUUAUAGCAGGCUUUUUAGCGCUGUAGGAAAAAGCAAACUGAUGUUGCUCAGUGCGUGCUCUGUGCUUUUGCACGGGAGGUGACCGUGAGGGCCAGGACUCAGUUUCUGAGCAGAGACUCGGGCUGCGUCGGUUCUGUUGGCCUGUGGAUACAACGCCGGCCUGACUCAAUGGAGAAUGCUCCAAAUCACAGGAGGUUUCACUUUGGACUAGCUCUAGUCCUUGCCAGAAGAUUGAAUUCUCCUUGGCUGCUGGAGCACCUUAAGUACCUUCCUGACCCAUAACUUGCCAAUCCGCGCCCGACAUUUAAACAGAGAAAAACAGCUCAUCACCAGGACUGUGUUAGGGUUGCUUUGACAUAUGAAGACAGGCUGCAUUUUGAGCCAUCCCUGGUGUGGUGUGGCUUUUUUGCUUUUGUUGCAUUUCUGUUGCUUUUUCUUUCCUGUGUUUCUUGAAAACUCUGCUGAUGAACUGUUACUAUAAUCACUCGCAAUUUGGAGGCAAAGGCAGCUCCUGGGAAACCGUGUCACGGAUGCCUGGGAAUGUCCUCCAAGUCACCUAGCUCCAUAACACUGCUGCACUGUGGAACUCCCAUGCCUGCAGGGGAAAGCCAGCAAUUUGCCUCAUGAAACCAAGAGGAGACUGAUCUGCUUUCUCUACUUGUAUCAUAAGAUCCCAGCCAGUGCCUGCUGUAAUCGUUUUCUCUGGGAAGUGAUGGCUAGAAAAAACCUUGUGGCUGGUGAUCGCAAAAGACUUUCUGCAGAGAUCUUCGAAGCAGAUGGUUAUGGAUCACCGAGAGCUUCCCAGAAUAACUGGAAAAGGGGCAUGAAAGGUGUUCGGUAGGAUUAGUCCUCCCAAAGAUCACUUUGGAGUAUCGCUUGUCCCAAAUCCCUUCCCAUCAGCAGUCAUUGUCCUGAAUCGUUAUUCUUCUCCAAAAUUCUGGCUCUUGGAUGGAAAUUGGAAUAUACUUUCUCCUUCUUGCAUUUGUUAAUGAAUAUAUCCAGUUUACCCACGAAGCUCUACAUGGCAUGAUAAACUAAUUGCAUGCCAUAUUAUACUUUCCUCAUGCACUGCAGACUGUUUCAGCACUAGGAAGAAUUCACGCAUAACCACAAAUCCUCAAGGGAUGGAAUUCAAGAGAUAUCCAGUGGUCAGGAAUCUCUAGAAACUGAAAGGCUUUUGAGUUAUUUGCUUUUAAGUAGAUGGUUUGUUUUUUAACAAAAUGGAAACUCUUAAUAAAUUUUCAUGUGAUUGAAUACUU